UACUCCUACGGGAGGCAGCAGUGGGGAAUAUUGGACAAUGGGCGAAAGCCUGAUCCAGCCAUGCCGCGUGUGUGAAGAAGGUCUUCGGAUUGUAAAGCACUUUAAGUUGGGAGGAAGGGCAGUAAGUUAAUACCUUGCUGUUUUGACGUUACCAACAGAAUAAGCACCGGCUAACUUCGUGCCAGCAGCCGCGGUAAUA
RNAcentral lists this ribosomal RNA (199 nucleotides) under uncultured Pseudomonas sp. RNAcentral's name for it is "partial 16S ribosomal RNA". It matches the Rfam family "Bacterial small subunit ribosomal RNA", at positions 334 to 525 of the family's 1533-position model. The record is from RNAcentral. Lineage: Bacteria; Pseudomonadati; Pseudomonadota; Gammaproteobacteria; Pseudomonadales; Pseudomonadaceae.